This 301-nucleotide ribosomal RNA is filed under the name uncultured bacterium. RNAcentral describes it as "partial 16S ribosomal RNA". It matches the Rfam family "Bacterial small subunit ribosomal RNA", at positions 509 to 807 of the family's 1533-position model. The record is from RNAcentral.
CAGCCGCCGCGGUAACACGAAGGGUGCAAGCGUUACUCGGAAUUACUGGGCGUAAAGCGUGCGUAGGUGGUGGUUUAAGUCCGUUGUGAAAGCCCUGGGCUCAACAUGGGAAUUGCAGUGGAUACUGGGUCACUAGAGUGUGGUAGAGGAUAGUGGAAUUUCCGGUGUAGCAGUGAAAUGCGUAGAGAUCGGAAGGAACAUCUGUGGCGAAGGCGACUAUCUGGGCCAACACUGACACUGAGGCACGAAAGCGUGGGGAGCAAACAGGAUUAGAUACCCCUGUAGUCCCUGUCUCUUAUAC